This 120-nucleotide ribosomal RNA is filed under the name Micrococcus luteus NCTC 2665. RNAcentral also lists the same sequence under 1 other name. Lineage: Bacteria; Bacillati; Actinomycetota; Actinomycetes; Micrococcales; Micrococcaceae. The record is from RNAcentral.
GUUACGGCGGUCAUAGCGUGGGGGAAACGCCCGGUUCCAUUCCGAACCCGGAAGCUAAGGCCCACAGCGCCGAUGGUACUGCAACCGGGAGGUUGUGGGAGAGUAGGUCGCCGCCGGACA